UUUUUUUGCAGCGUGCGAGGCACAACCUCAAUGCCCAUCGGAUGGCUAAGAUAAGGGGCUGAGAGGAGGUUGAUUGCUGGCCAUUGAGAGCAGGUUUAGGGGAUUGGGAGAUGGUACAAAAAGGAAAGAAGACAUCAGCCGCAAGGAGAGCUUCAUCGUGGGGAGAGUUUUGCAGCUAACGGGAGCGGAAAGAAAAAAUGGGAGCAAAAC
This 210-nucleotide long non-coding RNA is filed under the name Coffea arabica (coffee). RNAcentral's name for it is "long non-coding RNA (CARA_LNC003405)". Lineage: Eukaryota; Viridiplantae; Streptophyta; Magnoliopsida; Gentianales; Rubiaceae. The record is from RNAcentral.